GCGCUGGGCCGUCGGCGACUGGGACUUGAGCGCAAGCCCCAGCAGGAGCAAGUCGAG
RNAcentral lists this non-coding RNA (57 nucleotides) under Alexandrium catenella. Lineage: Eukaryota; Dinophyceae; Gonyaulacales; Pyrocystaceae. The record is from RNAcentral.